RNAcentral lists this ribosomal RNA (393 nucleotides) under uncultured bacterium. Its description in RNAcentral is "partial 16S ribosomal RNA". It matches the Rfam family "Bacterial small subunit ribosomal RNA", at positions 523 to 918 of the family's 1533-position model. The record is from RNAcentral.
AUACGGAGGAUCCGAGCGUUAUCCGGAUUUAUUGGGUUUAAAGGGUGCGCAGGCGGGAGAUUAAGUCGGCGGUGAAAUUUUGCAGCUCAACUGCAAAAGUGCCUUCGAAACUGGUUUCCUUGAGUGUAGAUGAAGUAGGCGGAAUUUGUGGUGUAGCGGUGAAAUGCAUAGAUAUCACGAAGAACUCCGAUUGCGCAGGCAGCUUACUAAACUACUACUGACGCUCAGGCACGAAGGCGUGGGGAUCAAACAGGAUUAGAUACCCUGGUAGUCCACGCAGUAAACGAUGAUUACUGGCUGUUUGCGAUACAAUGUAAGCGGCUGAGCGAAAGCGAAAAGUAAUCCACCUGGGGAGUACGUUCGCAAGAAUGAAACUCAAAGGAAUUGACGGGG